GUACCGUGAGGGAAAGGCGAAAAGUACCCCUGCGAGGGGAGUUAAAAGUACCUGAAACCGUGUGCCUACAAGCAGUGGGAGGACUAUGCCCGUAAGGGAAUGUCUGACCGCGUGCCUAUUGCAUAAUGAGCCGGCUAGUUAUUCUUGUCAGCGAGGUUAAGCGUAAGCGAGCCGAAGCGAAAGCGAGUCUGAACAGGGCGUUCAGUUGGCAGGAAUAGACGCGAAGCGGGAUGAUCUACCCUUGGCCAGGUUGAAGGUAGGGUAAAACCUAUUGGAGGACCGAACCGGUGUUUGUUGAAAAAAGCUCGGAUGAGCUGAGGGUAGGGGUGAAAGGCUAAUCAAAUUCCGUGAUAGCUCGUUCUCUCCGAAAUAGCUUUAGGGCUAGCCUCGGAUGAUUUGCGACGGUGGUAGAGAUCUGAAUGGACUAGGGGGCUUUCCGGCUUACCGAAUCCAGCCAAACUUCGAAUGCCGUUGACAACCAGUCCGGGAGUCAGACUGUGGGGGCUAAGCUUCACAGUCGAGAGGGAAACAGCCCAGACCGCCUGCUAAGGUCCCAAAGUUACAGUUAAGUGGGAAAGGAAGUCGGAACGCUCAGACAGCCAGGAGGUUGGCUUAGAAGCAGCCAUCCUUUAAAGAAAGCGUAAUAGCUCACUGGUCAAGCGGUCCGGUGCCGACAAUACAACGGGGCUAAAACUGUACACCGAAGCAACGGAUGCACACCUCUGGUGUGCGUGGUAGGAGAGCAUUCUCAACAGCAUUGAAGUCCGACUGAGAAGACGGAUGGAGCGUUGCGAAGAGACCCUGCCGGCAUAAGUAGCGAUAAUGAAGGUGAGAACCCUUCACGCCGAAAGUCUAAGGUUUCCUGAGGAAGGUUAAUCCGCUCAGGGUUAGGCGGUCCCUAAGGUGAGGCCGAAAGGCGUAAUCGAUGGACAUCCGGUUAAUAUUCCGGACCUCCCAACUCUCGUUUGACGAUGGGGAGACGCAGAAGGAUAAGCAGGUCGUCCUAUGACUAUGGCGAUCAAUACGUGCAAGCUGGAUCUGGUAGGCAAAUCCGCCAGGUCUUAACAGUGAGACGUAGAGCAGGCCCUUAUGGGCCAAAGCUGCUGAGUUCAUGCUGCCAAGAAAAUCCUCUAAGGAGAGAUGUUGGGAACCGUACCACAAACCGACACAGGUAGACGAGGAGAAUAUCCAAAGGCGCUCGAGUGAAGGCUUGUUAAGGAACUCGGCAAAUUAGACCCGUAACUUCGGGAGAAGGGUCGCCCACCAUCUGGUGGGCCGCAGUGAAACGCGUACGGCGACUGUUUAACAAAAACACAGGUCUCUGCUAAGUCGAAAACGACGUAUAGGGGCUGACUCCUGCCCGGUGCCGGAAGGUUAAAAGGAGAGGUUAGCCGCAAGGCGAAGCUUUGAAUUGAAGCCCCGGUGAACGGCGGCCGUAACUAUAACGGUCCUAAGGUAGCGAAAUUCCUUGUCGGGUAAGUUCCGACCCGCACGAAAGGCGUAACGAUUUGGGUACUGUCUCGGAGAGAGACUCGGCGAAAUAGACUUGUCUGUGAAGAUGCGGACUACCUGCACCUGGACAGAAAGACCCUAUGAAGCUUUACUGUAACUUGGAAUUGGGUUUGAGCUUUUCUUGCGCAGCAUAGGUGGGAAGCUAAGAAAAUAGGUUUGCGGAUCUAUUUGAGCUAUCAGUGAGAUACCACUCUGGAAAAGCUAGAAUUCUAACCUUGAAAGCCGUUAUCCGGCCAAGGGACAGUUUCAGGUGGGCAGUUUGACUGGGGCGGUCGCCUCCUAAAAAGUAACGGAGGCGUGCAAAGGUUCCCUCAGGCUGGUUGGAAAUCAGUCGUAGAGUGUAAAGGCAUAAGGGAGCUUGACUGCAAGACCUACAAGUCGAGCAGAGACGAAAGUCGGCCUUAGUGAUCCGACAGUGCCGAGUGGAAGGGCUGUCGCUCAACGGAUAAAAGUUA
RNAcentral lists this ribosomal RNA (1967 nucleotides) under Devaleraea ramentacea. Its description in RNAcentral is "bacterial LSU rRNA". It matches the Rfam family "Bacterial large subunit ribosomal RNA", at positions 498 to 2465 of the family's 2925-position model. Lineage: Eukaryota; Rhodophyta; Florideophyceae; Palmariales; Palmariaceae. The record is from RNAcentral.